AUGUACCACUCGUGCACUACGGUUCUGAGCGCGCCGUCCGCGCCCACCUGACGACUGCUCGCUACGUUUUGUUAGCC
Molecule: small RNA, 77 nt
Filed under: Xanthomonas euvesicatoria pv. allii
Lineage: Bacteria; Pseudomonadati; Pseudomonadota; Gammaproteobacteria; Lysobacterales; Lysobacteraceae
Also listed under: 12 other names
Description: sX9 sRNA
Rfam family: Xanthomonas sRNA sX9
Source: RNAcentral